AUUGAACGCUGGCGGCAGGCCUAACACAUGCAAGUCGAACGGUAACAGGAAACAGCUUGCUGUUUCGCUGACGAGUGGCGGACGGGUGAGUAAUGUCUGGGAAACUGCCUGAUGGAGGGGGAUAACUACUGGAAACGGUAGCUAAUACCGCAUAACGUCGCAAGACCAAAGAGGGGGACCCUCGGGCCUCUUGCCAUCGGAUGUGCCCAGAUGGGAUUAGCUUGUUGGUGGGGUAACGGCUCACCAAGGCGACGAUCCCUAGCUGGUCUGAGAGGAUGACCACCCACAUUGAAAUGGAGACACGCCCCAGACCCCUACGGGGGGCAGAGGGGGGAAAUAUGGCACAAGGGGCGAAGGCCUGAUGCAGCCAUGCCGGGUGUAAGAAGAAGGCUUUGGGUUUGUAAAGUCCUUCCAGGGGGGAGGAAGGGAGAAAAUUUAAUCCUUUUGCUCAUGGACUUACCCCGAAGAAGAACCCCCGCCUACCCCCGCC
This 490-nucleotide ribosomal RNA is filed under the name uncultured bacterium. RNAcentral describes it as "partial 16S ribosomal RNA". It matches the Rfam family "Bacterial small subunit ribosomal RNA", at positions 30 to 507 of the family's 1533-position model. The record is from RNAcentral.